CGGGUGAGUAACACGUAUCCAACCUGCCGUCUACUCUUGGACAGCCUUCUGAAAGGAAGAUUAAUACAAGAUGGCAUCAUGAGUCCACAUGUUCACAUGAUUAAAGGUAUUCCGGUAGACGAUGGGGAUGCGUUCCAUUAGAUAGUAGGCGGGGUAACGGCCCACCUAGUCUUCGAUGGAUAGGGGUUCUGAGAGGAAGGUCCCCCACAUUGGAACUGAGACACGGACCAG
RNAcentral lists this ribosomal RNA (231 nucleotides) under uncultured bacterium. RNAcentral describes it as "partial 16S ribosomal RNA". It matches the Rfam family "Bacterial small subunit ribosomal RNA", at positions 103 to 334 of the family's 1533-position model. The record is from RNAcentral.